This 445-nucleotide ribosomal RNA is filed under the name uncultured bacterium. RNAcentral describes it as "bacterial SSU rRNA". It matches the Rfam family "Bacterial small subunit ribosomal RNA", at positions 29 to 521 of the family's 1533-position model. The record is from RNAcentral.
AACGAACGCUGGCGGCAGGCUUAACACAUGCAAGUCGAACGCCCCGCAAGGGGAGUGGCAGACGGGUGAGUAACACGUGGGAACGUGCCCUAAGGUACGGAACAACUCCGGGAAACUGGAGCUAAUACCGUAUGUGCCCGAGAGGGGAAAGAUUUAUCGCCUUGGGAUCGGCCCGCGUCUGAUUAGCUAGUUGGUAGGGUAAUGGCCUACCAAGGCUACGAUCAGUAGCUGGUCUGAGAGGAUGGCCAGCCACACUGGGACUGAGACACGGCCCAGACUCCUACGGGAGGCAGCAGUGGGGAAUAUUGGACAAUGGGCGAAAGCCUGAUCCAGCCAUGCCGCGUGAGUGAUGAAGGCCUUAGGGUUGUAAAGCUCUUUCGCCAGGGACGAUAAUGACGGUACCUGGAUAAGAAGCCCCGGCUAACUUCGUGCCAGCAGCCGCCGU